UGGGGAAUCCUGCGCAAUGGGCGAAAGCCUGACGCAGCAACGCCGCGUGCGGGAUGAAGGCCCUCGGGUUGUAAACCGCUUUCAGUGGGGACGAACCAAGACGGUACCCACAGAAGAAGCCCCGGCCAACUACGUGCCAGCAGCCGCGGUAACACGUAGGGGGCAAGCGUUGUCCGGAUUCAUUGGGCGUAAAGAGCUCGUAGGCGGCUCAGUAAGUCGGGUGUGAAACCUCCAGGCUCAACCUGGAGACGCCACCCGCUACUGCUGUGGCUAGAGUCCAGUAGGGGAGCGUGGAAUUCCUGGUGUAGCGGUGAAAUGCGCAGAUAUCAGGAGGAACACCAGCGGCGAAGGCGGCGCUCUGGGCUGGAACUGACGCUGAGGAGCGAAAGCGUGGGGAGCGAACAGG
Molecule: ribosomal RNA, 406 nt
Filed under: bacterium
Lineage: Bacteria
Description: partial 16S ribosomal RNA
Rfam family: Bacterial small subunit ribosomal RNA
Source: RNAcentral